ACUAUUGUAGUCUAGUUGAUCAGAAUACUCGACUCUCACCCGAGAGACCUGGGUUCAAGUCCCGACAAAGGAA
Molecule: transfer RNA, 73 nt
Filed under: Capsicum annuum
Lineage: Eukaryota; Viridiplantae; Streptophyta; Magnoliopsida; Solanales; Solanaceae
Rfam family: tRNA
About the family: Transfer RNA (tRNA) molecules are approximately 80 nucleotides in length.
Source: Rfam by way of RNAcentral